RNAcentral lists this ribosomal RNA (91 nucleotides) under Enterobacter hormaechei. Its description in RNAcentral is "partial 16S ribosomal RNA". It matches the Rfam family "Eukaryotic small subunit ribosomal RNA", at positions 1111 to 1202 of the family's 1831-position model. Lineage: Bacteria; Pseudomonadati; Pseudomonadota; Gammaproteobacteria; Enterobacterales; Enterobacteriaceae. The record is from RNAcentral.
GCUCUGGGGGAACUACGACCGCAAGGCUGAAACUUGAAGGAAUUGACGGAAGGGCACACCAGGGGUGGAGCUUGUGGCUUAAUUUGAAUCA